RNAcentral lists this ribosomal RNA (655 nucleotides) under uncultured bacterium. RNAcentral describes it as "bacterial SSU rRNA". It matches the Rfam family "Bacterial small subunit ribosomal RNA", at positions 56 to 733 of the family's 1533-position model. The record is from RNAcentral.
UGCAGUCGAGCGAGUCUACCUGGUAGCAAUAUUGGGUAAGUCGAGCGGCGCAAUUGGCAGUAAUACCUGGGAACGUACCCUGAGGUCGGGGAUAGCUGCUGGAAACGGCGAGUAAUACCCGAUGAUCUUGGAAAAGCAAAGGCUUGCCGCCUUGGGAGCGGCCCAGGCGAUAUUAGCUAGUUGGUGGGGUAAUGGCCUACCAAGGCAUAGAUGUCUAGCGGGUGUGAGAGCACGACCCGCGCCACUGGCACUGAGACACUGGCCAGACACCUACGGGUGGCUGCAGUCGAGAAUCUUCGGCAAUGAGCGCAAGCUUGACCGAGCGACGCCGCGUGCGGGAUGAAGGCCUUCGGGUUGUAAACCGCUUUGGUCCGAAAGAAAGGGUAAAACUUGAUCGAUCGGAGAAACAAGGACGGGCUAAGUUCGUGCCAGCAGCCGCGGUAAGACGAACCGUCCAAACGUUAUUCAGAAUCACUGGGCUUAAAGGGCGCGUAGGCGGCCGAGCGGGUCGUGGGUGAAAUCCCCCAGCUUAACUGGGGAACUGCUUACGAUACCACUGCGGCUCGAGGAAGGAAGGGGCAAUUGGAACUGUCGGUGGAGCGGUGAAAUGCGUUGAUAUCGACAGGAACGCCUGUGGCGAAAGCGAAUUGCUGGU